Molecule: ribosomal RNA, 520 nt
Filed under: uncultured bacterium
Lineage: Bacteria
Description: bacterial SSU rRNA
Rfam family: Archaeal small subunit ribosomal RNA
Source: RNAcentral
AACCUCCGCAAUGUGAGAAAUCGCGACGGGGGGAUCCCAAGUGCCAUUCUUAACGGGAUGGCUUUUCAUUAGUGUAAAGAGCUUUUGGAAUAAGGGCUGGGCAAGACCGGUGCCAGCCGCCGCGGUAACACCGGCAGCUCUAGUGGUAGCAGUUUUUAUUGGGCCUAAAGCGUCCGUAGCCGGUUUAAUAAGUCUCUGGUGAAAUCCUGUAGCUUAACUGUGGGAAUUGCUGGAGAUACUAUUAGACUUGAGACCGGGAGAGGUUAGAGGUACUCCCAGGGUAGAGGUGAAAUUCUGUAAUCCUGGGAGGACCGCCUGUUGCGAAGGCGUCUAACUGGAACGGUUCUGACGGUGAGGGACGAAAGUUAGGGGCGCGAACCGGAUUAGAUACCCGGGUAGUCCUAACUGUAAACGAUGCGGACUUGGUGUUGGGGUGGCUUUGAGCUGCUUCAGUGCCGAGGGAAGCUGUUAAGUCCGCCGCCUGGGAAGUACGGUCGCAAGACUGAAACUUAAAGGAAUU